Molecule: non-coding RNA, 636 nt
Organism: Bemisia tabaci
Lineage: Eukaryota; Metazoa; Arthropoda; Insecta; Hemiptera; Aleyrodidae
Source: RefSeq, a predicted model, not a curated record
CGGGUCGCAAUUGAUAUUCUCUAGACUUUCGUCGUUAAUUAAUAGUGUGAAUUGCCUAUUUCCGCAUUAUUAUCGUGUCCCGCCUGAACCUCUUGGUUUACUCGAGAACUGUCGUGUGUGUUUCGUUGCUAAAAUCGAAAUUUAGCCCGUGGAAACUGACCAUUCUUUCGGAACUUGACUCGUACUCGUGGGUCCUCAGCCUGUUUUUGAGAGUGUAAUUGAUAUUCCAUUGACUUUUGUCGUUCAAUUAAAAGUGUGAAUCGCUGAUUCACUAGUGCGGUUUUCGGUUUCGGGUGAACUUGGUCGAGCGAAUUGUUUGGUGAACUCGUGUCGCGGUAUUCGACAUUAUUGUCAAAGUGUGUGCUAGCGAUUUCUAUUCCGAAGUGAUCAAAAUUCCGGUAUCAGUUGGCGUGAUUCGCGGCUCUUUUUCAAUUCUCUGAAGAUUGAUUCGAUCGAGUGUUUCCAUCUUUUAUUGCUGGAAGGGUGUCUGAAACUUUCCCUCACUGCUGUCGUUGGUUCUGGAUCAAGUGUAAAGUGCGGUUUCAGUGAUGAAGUUGUGGGUGCUUUCAGCUUGGCGUCGGGCAAUCGGAUAACCCUCUUCUGAAUGGCGUCGUGUGUGCUGUAAGCUGCUAAUCG